UGAGAGGGCGACCGGCCACAUUGGGACUGAGACACGGCCCAGACUCUUACGGGAGGCAGCAGUGGGGAAUAUUGCACAAUGGGGGAAACCCUGAUGCAGCGACGCCGCGUGAGCGAUGAAGUUUUCGGUUAGUAAACUUCUCAGCAGGGAAGAUAAUGACGUACCUGACUAAGAAGCUCCGGCUAAAUACGUGCCAGCAGCCGCGG
RNAcentral lists this ribosomal RNA (206 nucleotides) under uncultured bacterium. Its description in RNAcentral is "partial 16S ribosomal RNA". It matches the Rfam family "Bacterial small subunit ribosomal RNA", at positions 293 to 520 of the family's 1533-position model. The record is from RNAcentral.